AUCUAUUGCUGCAAGCUAUCCCUCGCUGCUAAGCUAUCGCUGCCAACCUAUCUAUCGCUGCCAACCUAUCUAUCGCUGCUAAGCUAUCCCUCGCUGCUAAGCUAUCGCCGCUGCCAACCUAUCUAUUGCUGCAAGCUAUCCCUCGCUGCUAAGCUAUCGCCGCUGCCAACCUAUCUAUCGCUGCCAACCUAUCUAUUGCUGCAAGCUAUCCCUCGCUGCUAAGCUAUCCCUCGCUGCUAAGCUAUCUAUCACUGCUAAUCUAUCGCUGCCAACCUAUCUAUCACUGCCAAUCUAUCUAUCGCUGCUAAUCUAUCGCUGCUAAUCUAUCGCUGCUGCCAAUCUAUCUAUCGCUGCUAAUCUAUCGCUGCUAAUCUAUCGCUGCUGCCAAUCUAUCUAUCGCUGCUAAUCUAUCGCUGCUAAUCUAUCGCUGCUGCCAAUCUAUCUAUUGCUGCUAAUCUAUCGCUGCUAAUCUAUUGCUGCUAAUCUAUUGCUGCUGCCAAUCUAUCUAUCACUGCUAAUCUAUCACUGCUAAUCUAUCGCUGCUAAUCUAUCGCUGCUAAUCUAUCGCUGCUAAUCUAUCGCUGCUAAUCUAUCGCUGCCAACCUAUCUACCGCGGCGAAUCUAUCUAUUGCUGCCAACCAACCUACCACUGCCAACCUAUCUAUCGCUGCCAAUCUAUCGCUGCCAAUCUAUCGCUGCCAACCUAUCUACUGCAGUGAAUCUAUCUAUCACUAUCAUUACUAGUUCAAAAUAGAACUAGAGCAUAAAUACACUAAACUUCUUUUGAUAGAUAAUGAUUUUUGAUAAUGCUCAUAGCAUUAUAUCAUCUAUAUAGAGUAAAUCAUGGUCCCAUUUGAUCCCAUUUUAACAAAAUGGGACCAAAUGGAACCAGAAUCAGUAAUUUAUAAGAAGAACAUGAUCUGAGACUAGAUUUAUAAUAUAAACAGUGUAAAGUGACUAAUUUAAUAAACACUAUAUGAGA
RNAcentral lists this small RNA (982 nucleotides) under Histoplasma ohiense. Its description in RNAcentral is "hypothetical lncRNA". The record is from RNAcentral. Lineage: Eukaryota; Fungi; Ascomycota; Eurotiomycetes; Onygenales; Ajellomycetaceae.